AACGAACGCUGGCGGCAUGCCUAACACAUGCAAGUCGAACGAGACCUUCGGGUCUAGUGGCGCACGGGUGCGUAACGCGUGGGAACCUGCCCUUAGGUUCGGAAUAACUCCCCGAAAGGGGUGCUAAUACCGGAGAAUGUCUUCGGACCAAAGAUUUAUCGCCUUUGGAUGGGCCCGCGUUGGAUUAGCUAGUUGGUAGGGUAAAAGCCUACCAAGGCGACGAUCCAUAGCUGGUCUGAGAGGAUGAUCAGCUACACUGGGACUGAGACACGGCCCAGACUCCUACGGGAGGCAGCAGUGGGGAAUAUUGGACAAUGGGCGAAAGCCUGAUCCAGCCAUGCCGCGUGAGUGAUGAAGGCCUUAGGGUUGUAAAGCUCUUUUACCCGGGAUGAUAAUGACAGUACCGGGAGAAUAAGCUCCGGCUAACUCCGUG
RNAcentral lists this ribosomal RNA (433 nucleotides) under uncultured bacterium. Its description in RNAcentral is "partial 16S ribosomal RNA". It matches the Rfam family "Bacterial small subunit ribosomal RNA", at positions 29 to 507 of the family's 1533-position model. The record is from RNAcentral.